Molecule: small nuclear RNA, 107 nt
Filed under: Choloepus hoffmanni (Hoffmann's two-fingered sloth)
Lineage: Eukaryota; Metazoa; Chordata; Mammalia; Pilosa; Megalonychidae
Source: RNAcentral
GUGCUUGCUUCGGCGGCACAUAUACUAAAAUUGGAAUGAUACAGACAAGAUUAGCAUGGCCCCUGUGCAAGGAUGACAUGCAAAUUCGUGAAGCGUUCCAUAUUUUU